RNAcentral lists this transfer RNA (74 nucleotides) under Microcaldota archaeon. RNAcentral describes it as "tRNA-Thr". It matches the Rfam family "tRNA". Rfam says of the family: Transfer RNA (tRNA) molecules are approximately 80 nucleotides in length. Their secondary structure includes four short double-helical elements and three loops (D, anti-codon, and T loops). The record is from RNAcentral. Lineage: Archaea; Nanobdellati; Microcaldota.
GCCUUCGUAGCUCAGCCUGGUAGAGCGCUUGUUUCGUAAACAAGAGGCCGAGGUUUCAAAUACCUCCGAGGGCU